Molecule: ribosomal RNA, 450 nt
Filed under: uncultured bacterium
Lineage: Bacteria
Description: partial 16S ribosomal RNA
Rfam family: Bacterial small subunit ribosomal RNA
Source: RNAcentral
GUGGGGAAUAUUGGACAAUGGGCGAAAGCCUGAUCCAGCCAUGCCGCGUGUGUGAAGAAGGUCUUCGGAUUGUAAAGCACUUUAAGUUGGGAGGAAGGGCAGUAAGUUAAUACCUUGCUGUUUUGACGUUACCGACAGAAUAAGCACCGGCUAACUUCGUGCCAGCAGCCGCGGUAAUACGAAGGGUGCAAGCGUUAAUCGGAAUUACUGGGCGUAAAGCGCGCGUAGGUGGUUUUGUAAGUUGGAGGUGAAAUCCCCGGUCUCAACCUGGGAACUGCCUCCAAAACUGCAUGACUAGAGUACGGUAGAGGGUAGUGGAAUUUCCUGUGUAGCGGUGAAAUGCGUAGAUAUAGGAAGGAACACCAGUGGCGAAGGCGACUACCUGGACUGAUACUGACACUGAGGUGCGAAAGCGUGGGGAGCAAACAGGAUUAGAAACCCUAGUAGUCC